RNAcentral lists this ribosomal RNA (463 nucleotides) under uncultured bacterium. RNAcentral's name for it is "partial 16S ribosomal RNA". It matches the Rfam family "Bacterial small subunit ribosomal RNA", at positions 28 to 507 of the family's 1533-position model. The record is from RNAcentral.
GACGAACGCUGGCGGCGUGCUUAACACAUGCAAGUCGAGCGGAAAGGCCACUUCGGUGGUACUCGAGCGGCGAACGGGUGAGUAACACGUGAGUAAUCUGCCCCUGGCUUUGGGAUAGCCACCGGAAACGGUGAUUAAUACCGGAUACGACACAUUCUCGCAUGAGUUUGUGUGGAAAGUUUUUCGGCCAGGGAUGUGCUCGCGGCCUAUCAGCUUGAUGGUGAGGUAAUGGCUCACCAUGGCUUCGACGGGUAGCCGGCCUGAGAGGGUGACCGGUCACACUGGGACUGAGACACGGCCCAGACUCCUACGGGAGGCAGCAGUGGGGAAUAUUGGACAAUGGGCGGAAGCCUGAUCCAGCAACGCCGCGUGAGGGAUGACGGCCUUCGGGUUGUAAACCUCUUUCAGUACCGACGAAGCGCAAGUGACGGUAGGUACAGAAGAAGCACCGGCCAACUACGUG